UAUCCUUCUCAGCCUUUUGGCUAAGAUCAAAGUGUAGUAUCUGUUCUUUUUGGUUACUUUGGUAAUAAUUUCAUGUUCUAUGCUUCACUAAUC
RNAcentral lists this small nuclear RNA (93 nucleotides) under Diaphorina citri (Asian citrus psyllid). RNAcentral's name for it is "U2 spliceosomal RNA". It matches the Rfam family "U2 spliceosomal RNA". Rfam says of the family: U2 is a small nuclear RNA (snRNA) component of the spliceosome (involved in pre-mRNA splicing). Complementary binding between U2 snRNA (in an area lying towards the 5' end but 3' to hairpin I) and the branchpoint sequence (BPS) of the intron results the bulging out of an unpaired adenosine, on the BPS, which initiates a nucleophilic attack at the intronic 5' splice site, thus starting the first of two transesterification reactions that mediate splicing. Lineage: Eukaryota; Metazoa; Arthropoda; Insecta; Hemiptera; Psyllidae. The record is from Rfam by way of RNAcentral.